AUUACAUUCCUAUGUAUCAGCUUGCCCUGUAACCUCAAGUUUUUAGUGCUGAAAUGAGUAAAACAGCUGUCCUUUGCAUUCAACUUCUAGUAACGUUCAGCAUCUUGUGGACUUGUAGCCCUGAGUAAUAAAAUACUUGGGUUACAGUAGUACUUCAGAGGGGUUAGUAGUCCCUUCAGUGGCACUAGUUUCCUUAGUGCUGUGUGCCAGGGUGUCCAGGAUUACAAGAACACAGUGACUGCUUAAUUUGGAAGUGUAUUUCAUUCCAAAAUGCAUUUCCUCUGGGUGAUUUCAUAUAUCCUUAGUUCAGUUGGUCUCUUAAUGUUCUGGAAGUUGUUCAGAUGUAACAGGCUACAAAUAGGCCAGUUUCAAAACGCAGGCAAUGCAUGUAACAGGAAUCCAUUCACAUCCACCUGCUUACAUGAAAAGAUGCAGUUUAAUAGUUGAUCUAAAUAGUCAACUGAAAAGUAAUUUCCCAGCUUGUUAGUUCAGCUUUUUUUAUGAUGGACAAACUAGCGCUGCAAAGAUGUUGAAUGUCAUUGAUCUGUAAAAAGCAUUUCAUUCUACAGAAAAGUGGUAUUGGACAUAAGCAGAUAUUUUUGCAUAACUAAUUUAAAUCCAAAUCUCUGCUUUUGUAGCAUUUAGAGUUUCAGUUGCGGAUCUGACUGGUCUAAUAACUUUUUGGUUUCUGCUAUUGUGCAGAAAUUUGUAAAUGCCUACUUUAUUUUUAUCCCUUUGGUCAUGUAGAUAACCUAGAUAAUCUUGUGAAAAGUAAUAAGUAUCAAAAUUAUGCUUCAGCUUAAUGAUGCUUUAUGAAGUGAAAUAAUGAAUAGGGACAGGAGUGUUUUAUUGAAUAGUAUGUAGGGGUUUUAAACUGGUGAAAUGUGGUAAUGACAUGACAGUUUCAGUGUUGGGAGGCUCUAACAGCUUCACUUCUUAAGGUUAGCCAUGCAAAAGUAGAAAAAAAUUGGUAUAAUAUAUGAGACUUCCAGGAAAUUAAUCAGUGACUUUCACAAAAUGCCUUGUAAAGAAAACUCUUCUCUAGUGUAGGUAGUGUGACCAAGAGGAACAAUUUUGGAACCAGGAAACUGUGCCACAACUGUUUUGCUCCCUCUGUGUCAUACAGUAAGAAUUGUGUGAAAGCAAUAUAAGGAAUAAGGUCAAAAGUAGCCAUGAAAGUAAAGAAAAACAGAAGUGUAUUUAACCCAACAUAAGGAAUGUAUUUGUGAGAUCCUUGUUCCUUUGUUUUCUCUCAUCUCUUUAAAUCUUGUAUUUAUUCUCUUUAAUCUUUUGGAAGAAAAAGAAAAGGUCACAACAAAUAAACAGGACAGCCCCAAAGCGGCUGCAGACUUGAUAUCCCCAGAAGUGAUUUGUCAUUGUUGGGGUUAUACAGCUUGGUAGUAAGGAAAAUUUUUCUUCCUCUUUAACAUCUUGCAUAUCUUCUUAAAGCUGCUUCCCUCCCUUUCAUAUUCUGGCAGGUAGAGAGCUUGCUUUUGUGAUUGAGGGUUUCUGGUGUGUGUUUCUGUGCUGUGUUGGAGUAGAUGUGAUGGGUUGUGGAGCAGUUGUUCCCACUUCAGCCAUCUCUUCUAAAUCCCAGACUGUUGACUUGCUCUUUGUAAUGUCACUUGAAGAGCUUCAGAGUAACUUGAAAGGAUUUGCUGUUCUCUUUCAGAUGUGAAAACAUCUACUGGUGUGGUUCUCUGCUCUUGAUCCUCCAUUUCGUUUGUCAGGAGCUGUGUGGGAAAAGAUCUUGCAGUAAUUCCAUUGAAAAUUGCAUGUUUGUUCAGCAAUUACCCCCCUCCCCGCCCCCCUUUUUUUUUCCUAACAAUUCAACUGUCCUUUAAGUGAGAACUUGUGGAAACAGGUCAAACAUGUUUUACAGGUAUACUCAGUGCUUAAUUUUAUGGGAUAAUGUGGGUAGUACAAGAUAUAUGUAGCUUCAUUUUUCAAAAACAGAUGUGAAGGGAAAGAAUUUGAAAGGUAAUUACCUGCUGAGCUGGGUAUUUGGCUUACCAAGAGCUGAUUCAUAUGCACUUCAGAUUGUCAGCUUGUUAAUUUUUUUUGUUUGUUUCAUUGUUUUUUUUACAUUGGUAGAGUAAUUGCUGUUUAUAAAGAUAAAGAGAUGGCCUCACUUGAAGUCACUGAAAUACAAAGAAGCAUGUUUUCAGUUUCUUCUUACAAGUUUUAUCUGCUAGUGCAGGCAGCUGUGCUCUUUCCUUCCUUAACAGCUGACUUCAGGCUGUGGAGCUCAACCAAUUUUGGAGGACCUUUAUCUCAAGGAUGGGAAGUUCUUGAGAGCUGCAAAAGCAUGAGCAGCUGGACAAAAAAGAGAGAACCUUAGUAAUAACCCAAGGAGAGAACCUGUAGCAUGAACUCAUUGUGCUUUGCUGGAAAGAAGAACAUGCAUGCAGGACAGGAGUUGGGCAACUUUGAUCAGAGCUUGGCAUUUAUUAGAGGUCAUAUUUCUUCUUUUAGUAGAUGGGAUUUCUGGAUCAAACACUUGUGUUUUAUCUGAGAAGGCACUUCCUUUCUAGCAGGCAAAGAGCAGAAUUUGGUAAUUCUCCCUUCUGCUUGUUAAAAAAAAAGAAUAAAUGUUUUUUAGUUCAGUUUGUUAUGCAUAGUUCAGGUUUUUAGCAGGAAAAAACAAUACCGUGCUUGACAAGGAACACAGGAGAGAGUACGGACACUAAAAAUACAGCCAUGCUUUCUGCAGUUCUCCAUUUCAGACUCCUUUUGUGCAGCCAUGUGUGAGAAAUUCAAAUCCAGAAUGUCUUGCAUUCUUAACGUCACCUCAUUUUUCUUCCUCUAUUACAGACUUACAAGCAGUUCUGGUUCAGUCUUUUUUCCACAGAAAAAUCUGAUUCAGGGGGAACCCUCUGAAUGAAAAAUUCAUGUGUAUUUAUUCCCUCACUUUACUGCAGCUAGUUAUGGCCUCCUUUCCUCUUCCCACAGUUUUGAUGCAGAUGCAGUGUAGAAUUUUUAACGCAAGUAGAUGUUAGGACAGGUCUUGGAAAAUAAAAAUGGUCCACAAUGUGGAAGGGACCUUGAGAGGUCAUUUAUUUAUCCUUUUGUCAUUUAAUCCUUAUGAAGAAUGGUUUAUCUGCCUAGAGAUAACUUGAUCUAACUUGUUCUUUAAAAUCUGUGAUUAUACAGAAUCCCUCCCCAGAAAUGAAUUUCAAUGCUUCAGUUGUUGCUUCUAGCAAAAAAAGUCUGCUUUUCUUCCCUCCUUCUUCCCACCUGCCAAGCAUCAGCAAAUUUCUCACACUGAAGUAGGCUGGGGGUGAAGGAGAUAUCAGUGGAAACAGUGAUGGAAGGUGGAAGACAAGGGAGUCAAUCCAGUGCAGCUUUGUGCUAUUUUUCAUUCAGUUACGAGAGCUGUUCUUCAAUUAUUCAUGUCAUAUGCAUCACAUUAUUUCCCUUCCAUUUAGGUUGGACUCGCGUCUGCAGUCUCUGUGCUAUUCUGUUGCAAUGCAGAGUAGUUCAGAAGCAUCUGUAAAGGAAACUAGUGAUUGAUCAUCUGCUAGACCUUCUGCUCUUAGCUGGAGUAAAAGCAGUUUAGGAGCAAGUGGUAUGGUGCCAUGUCUCUGCAGUCCUGAAUAAAGCUUGGGGUGUUUGUCAUGCUGUCAGCCUUGGAAGCCCCUGCAGAGUGAGCUCGUGACUGGCGCUGAAGUAAUGGUAGCAGAGAAGAAAGGAAGGAAAACCAAAAGGAUGGUACAAGUGGUGGCGUGAGAGCACUUCGGCAGUUUCAGUAACUGUAAAAAGCUGAACUUGGAGUCUGUAAGAGGGAACCAAUAUAUGAAGGAACAAGCAGAAACAGAUUGAAAGGGUAGGGAAUGGAAAUAUUUCACCUUUCCAUAAAUUGCUUAGUUUCUGAGGUGAAAUUUUUUUUCACGUGUGUGAUUCAGUAAUACUGGGGCACAAAGACACUAACAUUGGUGUUUUAAGCGUCAUGCAGAAUUGACUGGUAGGUCAGGCAGGUCUCUGACCUACCAAGAACCUUACUUACCUUACUUUAACCUACUCUAAAUACAGGGAGAAAGAAGUAUUCUUCUUACUAGUACAAGAGAUCCUUCUGCUAAGCUGGGCAGUCUGAUGAUGAGUUAUUUUUGUAACAGUAAUGAUACCUCAUCUUUCUGUCUUGGACACAUUAAGAAUGGAAAUACAUCAUAUAAGCGUAGUUAUUACAGUAAAUUACUUUUAUGUGCACUUUAUGUGCAGUUCCACUUUUAAGAAGUUGUAACAUCUGCCUCAAUUCUGACCACGUUCAUGUGACAGUAAAAUGUAUUUGAGCACAUUUGUGAUCGUGUAACAAUAACCUUUUCCAUACAUGUAGAGCUGCAGCAAUGCUUCUGACUCUAAAGGAAUGUACUAGGACACUGUACUGUGUAAAUAGCUUAUAUAGCUUUCUAUAUAAAGCAGGAAAAACUCAAUGAUACUUGGAAAUUAUGAUGGAAGAAAUUAUUCUGUUACAUGUGAGACAUAGCGUUUUUUCCAUUGAUCUUGCUCUUCUUGUACAAAAUACAAUAAACCAUAUACCCUUUGACAGCACACCUGAGAUGCACAGUUGCUUUUCACUGCAAAAGUUUUGACAAAUAAGCUGUUUCCCAGUAGUUUCUCUAAUAGCUAAGCCCAUUUCUUACUCUGUUCUUUCCAUGCUGCGGCAUGAAAAAUCACCUUUGGAGAAGGCCUGGAAAACUUCAGUCCACAGGGAAAGCUUUUAUGGCUGUGAAUAGUAUUGGAAUGGAAAUACUUCAGUAACCUUUCUGAAAGUCAUUGCUUCUACUGGUCUAUAAUUAGCCACACAGGAAAAACAAAAUUCUCUUUCAAGUGUAGUAGAA
Long non-coding RNA from Pezoporus occidentalis (night parrot), 4838 nucleotides. RefSeq lists it as uncharacterized. The transcript is spliced from 2 exons. The record is from RefSeq and is a predicted model, not a curated record. NCBI's taxonomy places the organism in Eukaryota, Metazoa, Chordata, Aves, Psittaciformes, Psittacidae.